RNAcentral lists this long non-coding RNA (3037 nucleotides) under Anneissia japonica. Its description in RNAcentral is "uncharacterized LOC117107609". The record is from RNAcentral. Lineage: Eukaryota; Metazoa; Echinodermata; Crinoidea; Comatulida; Comatulidae.
UAUAAAAAUGUACACACACGGUACAAUUUAGAAGUCUUUAUUAUAGAAGAUCGUAUUCUGUGUAGUGAAUAUCAUAACUAUCUACUGACGAUACGAUACGCGUAAGUAACCGAAUUGAGCAUCGGCUUAGAAAAUAACCCCACAUCGUAACAAAUAGAGAUGAAGGUCAUUCAUAUCACUAUUUUGACAAUUGUUGUCAUGGCAGCGUUGACGGUUAGAGCACAAUCUGAAGAAGAGGAACCAAAAGAUGGAUAUUUUGACUUUUUGAAUCAAGUUAUGGACAAACGAAGGCCAGCAAGGACACGACCAGCAAGGUGUUUAACAUACGGCCAAACAUGCACAGUGAACUACUUCGGCGCUCACAAUUGUUGUCGUCAGACCAGGUGCACCGGCGCACGUGGCAUGCCCUGCAGCAGAGGAAAAUCUUGCGUUUGUGCCCACUACAACGGAAAGUGAUCAAUAUAGAUAUCUCAUAGGAUUAAGCAUUGUGUUUAGAUUCAGUGUUUUUUAGGAAUAAAUAAAAAAAUUUAUCCCGUGUUAAUAAGAAGUUAUUUUUUUCCAAUUUUGGAGAGAUAGGCCUACAUGUGUUGCUGUAUUAAUAAAUAAUGUAUAUGUUGAUAGCAGUAUGUUUAUGUGUAGAAACAAUAAACAUAAGAAUAUAGAUUUUGUGAUAAAGUGAGGUGAAAGAUACAGUAAAUACAAUACAAUUUAAUUUAUGAAUUUGAAUAUCAGGUACCGACACCCCCUUACGCAACAUGGAAAAUGAUACUUAAAAUCUGGAACGCUAUUUUACAUUGGUCGUCUUCAGAGGUUUAAGUUUCCACAAAUACAUCAGUACGUUGAAGUGUACAUACCUGAGUAUUGCAAGACAGUUUUUGAGGUACAUUACGUUCAGGAUUUAAGUCUCUCUAGUUUCAUUCGAGCCUGCUUCAUAGGCUAUUACAUAUUCAGGAUUUUGAAGUUUUGUGCAUUUUUACAUGAUUCAUUCACGGUGCAAUCAUAAUAUAUAAGUUGACACUAUGACACGGACUAAAGUUUAGCAUUGACAAACACGACACAGAGUAAUAUAAUGCAAUUUGUGAAGACGGAUAAACAUUGUAUAACUCUUGGUGGGAUAUUGUGACGAAAAUGUUGUUUAGGGACAUUGUUGUUUACAGACGACCCGGAUCGAGGCAUUAAGCGCUAAAUACGUCCAUACGGAUGACUGCAAGACGACACCUUACUGACAAUCUGGCAGACAUGAGCGUUAGAGAAAGUUGGUAAAGAAUCUAUUUGUAAAUAUCACUUUUAGUACAUACAAAUUUUAGGAAGCUAUUUGUUGUCCAUUACGAUUGCUACUCUUAAUAAGAAUAUUGCCACAAAUCACGUAGCUACAAAACACUCCUACACAAGUGCUAAUGUGGACGUGUUCGUGCAUUAUAACUUUAACAAUUAUUCUAUAGUUGGAAUUGAAAAUCAGAGUUUCAAUUUCUUCAGAGAAGACAUUCUAACUACUGUUAGAUUAAAGAAACAGAAACGCAUUUACGUCAUAUUCUUCUGAUAUAUUCGUAUGCUUUAAAUGUUGGCUGUGCACAAUUUACCAAUAAUUUAUAAAUACAAAUUAAUUUAAUAUGAGAGUUGGAAUUAUUUUGAUUAAGGUAAAAUUAUGGUGGAGAAAGUACUGGUUAACGUCAGCCGACGAUAGAGGGGGAUAUUGUUUGUUGGAGUCUUAAUGGCCAUUGAAAUACAUUAGGUUUAAUCAAUGUGACAGUUUAUUUUGUUUUGAAUAUUUAAUAUAUAAAAAAGCUACCAUUUUGAAAUCCACGUCGCAUACAAUUGAUCUUAGUCUACAAAUAAAAUAUGCGUAGAGCUAAAAUUUAGUGUAUAUUUCUAUAAAUUGAUUUCAAAUUGUUUUUGAUGGGUAAUAUUACCUGUCAUAUUAUAUUGCACUAUUGCAUUUUGCCUAAAUCUAAUUUUGAAGGAUAAAGUAAGUUACGCUCGAGUUUACGUAACUGGGCUAAGCGAGUAACUUUACUAUGGUAAAGAAGGCAUUCCAUUCAUGCACAACGGUCGUACUGUAGUUCUAAGUUAAUUCAACAAACAUGGAAUAAAACGUUAUUAAUAUAUAUUAAUAAUAAAUUUACAUUCCUAUUACGAUAUUCACAUUUCCUGCUUGUACUGCUCUAAUUUAUACACACUUAAAGAGAGAUUAAUUGUAUUGGAGACCAACAAUGAGUGAAAAAAAACCUAUGAAAUGGAGGGGCACUCACGGCAGCCUGUCGCUUGGAUAAGCUUCAUAAUGGUCUGUGAUAACACGAACAAGUGUGCCACGAGACUCAAUUUCCAUAGUUAACCAGUUGGAAAAUAAUAAAAAUGCAUUUUCACCAGGGAAUAUUAGACCUAGAACGUCAACUUCACAAUUAAGAUGAGUUUGACGAGAGCCUGGCAUACCUACCGUACUCAUAUUCAAUUUGGUAUUCCAAACAGAAUUUAUGCCAUUCGGAGUAAAUGAACAAAGAAUGUUUUCAUUUUAAAAUAAAACAAAAUAUUGCAUUAAUAAAUUAUCUUAUGUUAGUACUGUAUUACGUUUUGACAUUGUUAAUUACGGAUCCGCUAACCAGGUCGUCAGUGAACCCAACAGCCGAUGGGUGCGAUGUUCGGUCCAAUAGAUUUGAUUUUAGUAGUCUUAAUAAAUACUACUGAAAUCAAAUCUAUCGGACCGAACAUUGACCUGAGGUGUAUUUAUUGGGCACUAUAUAGUUAGUACGUAUAAUUUUAAUAUGACGAUUAGGCCUACUAUCUAAUAUAUGCUAGGCUAUAUUAAAUUUACGUAUAGGGCUUAUUCCAUUUAUUUCUUUGUGAACUGGAUUGAAAUGCCUACAGUAAUAGAUACAACCGCCACUGCUAAAUCAUGUGUUACGUGAUAGUCGAUAAGUGGCAACUUGGAAAUAUAGUGACAGAUUCAGUAUUGUAUUGUGAUCGAUAACAUUUUAGAUAAGAUUAGCAUAAUUGUCGGCAACGUUAAGGUGAAUAAAUAAAUUAUAUGAAUCAAUUGAAA